UACGAGGGGGGCGAGCGUUGUUCGGAAUUAUUGGGCGUAAAGGGUGCGUAGGCGGCCUGACAAGUCUGAUGUGAAAUCCCUGGGCUCAACCCAGGGCCUGCAUCGGAAACUGUCGGGCUUGAGUAUGGGAGAGGUGAGUGGAAUUUCCGGUGUAGCGGUGAAAUGCGUAGAUAUCGGAAGGAACACCUGUGGCGAAAGCGGCUCACUGGACCAUUACUGACGCUGAGGUGCGAAAGCGUGGGGAGCAAACAGG
This 253-nucleotide ribosomal RNA is filed under the name uncultured bacterium. RNAcentral's name for it is "partial 16S ribosomal RNA". It matches the Rfam family "Bacterial small subunit ribosomal RNA", at positions 524 to 776 of the family's 1533-position model. The record is from RNAcentral.